UACGGGGGGGGCAAGCGUUGUUCGGAAUUACUGGGCGUAAAGGACUCGUAGGCGGCCAACUAAGUCAGACGUGAAAUCCCCAGGCUCAACCUGGGAACUGCGUCUGAUACUGGAUGGCUUGAAUUCGGGAGAGGGAUGCAGAAUUCCAGGUGUAGCGGUGAAAUGCGUAGAUAUCUGGAGGAAUACCGGUGGCGAAGGCGGCAUCCUGGACCGACAUUGACGCUGAUGAGCGAAAGCUAGGGGAGCAAACGGG
This 253-nucleotide ribosomal RNA is filed under the name uncultured bacterium. RNAcentral's name for it is "partial 16S ribosomal RNA". It matches the Rfam family "Bacterial small subunit ribosomal RNA", at positions 524 to 776 of the family's 1533-position model. The record is from RNAcentral.